UAGAGGAUGAGAGAGGUAGCUAGAAUUCCUUGUGUAGGAGUGAAAUCCGUAGAUAUAAGGAGGAAUACCGAUGGCGUAGGCAGGCUACUGGCUCAUUCCUGCCACUAAGGCACGAAAGCGUGGGGAGCGACCGGGAUUAGAUACCACGUUAGUCCACGCCGUAAACGAUGGAUGCUAGCUGUUAUGAGUAUCGAUCCUCGUAGUAGCGAAGCUAACGCGUUAAGCAUCCCGCCUGUGGAGUCCGAGCGCAAGCUUAAACCAUAAAGGAAUAGACGGGGACCCGCACAAGCGGUGGAGCGUGUUCUUUAAUUCGAUGGUAAGCGAAGAUCCUUACCAAGGUUGGACAUCCUGCGAAGGUCUCCGAAAGGAGACUGUGCCUUGUGAGCGCAGUGACAGGUGUUGCACGGCCGUCGUCAGCUCGUGUCGUGAGAUGUUUGGUUAAGUCCAUCAACGAGCGCAACCCUUGUGAUUAGUUGAAUUUUUCUAAUCAGACUGCCCCGGCAACGGGGAGGAAGGAGGGGAUGAUGUCAGGUCAGUAUUACCCUUACACCUUGGGCUAGAAACACGCUACAAUGGCCAGUACAAAGGGCUGCCAAGGAGCAAUCCGGAGCAAAUCCCAUCAAAGCUGGUCUCAGUUCGGAUAGCAGGCUGAAACUCGCCUGCUUGAAGUUGGAAUCGCUAGUAACGGUAGGUCAGCACACUACCGUGAAUACGUUCCCGGGUCUUGUACACACCGCCCGUCAAACCAUGAAAGUCGCCAAUACCUGACGU
RNAcentral lists this ribosomal RNA (771 nucleotides) under uncultured bacterium. Its description in RNAcentral is "bacterial SSU rRNA". It matches the Rfam family "Bacterial small subunit ribosomal RNA", at positions 642 to 1427 of the family's 1533-position model. The record is from RNAcentral.